Candidatus Kaiserbacteria bacterium is the source of this 106-nucleotide non-coding RNA. NCBI's taxonomy places the organism in Bacteria, Candidatus Kaiseribacteriota. The record is from Rfam.
UCUGGUGAUUUGUCGCUGGGGUCACACCCGUUCUCAUUCCGAACACGGCAGUUAAGCCCAGUUGAGGCGAUGGUAGUCGCAAGGCGAGAGUAGCUAGUCGCCAGAA